AAGAAAGAAGCAUAGGUGGUUAGAUGCGGCUGGCUUGAAACCAGCGUACGAGGGUUCGAUUCCUUCCUUUCUUG
This 74-nucleotide transfer RNA is filed under the name Spizaetus tyrannus (black hawk-eagle). RNAcentral's name for it is "tRNA-Ser". It matches the Rfam family "tRNA". From Rfam's summary of the family: Transfer RNA (tRNA) molecules are approximately 80 nucleotides in length. The record is from RNAcentral. Lineage: Eukaryota; Metazoa; Chordata; Aves; Accipitriformes; Accipitridae.